This 253-nucleotide ribosomal RNA is filed under the name uncultured bacterium. Its description in RNAcentral is "partial 16S ribosomal RNA". It matches the Rfam family "Bacterial small subunit ribosomal RNA", at positions 524 to 776 of the family's 1533-position model. The record is from RNAcentral.
UACGUAGGGUGCGAGCGUUGUCCGGAAUUACUGGGCGUAAAGAGCUCGUAGGUGGUUUGUCGCGUUGUUCGUGAAAACCUGAGGCUUAACCUUGGGCGUGCGGGCGAUACGGGCAGACUGGAGUACUGCAGGGGAGACUGGAAUUCCUGGUGUAGCGGUGGAAUGCGCAGAUAUCAGGAGGAACACCGGUGGCGAAGGCGGCCUUCUGGGCCUGUUCUGACGCUGAGGAGCGAAAGCGUGGGGAGCAAACAGG